CCCCCCCCCCCCCUUCCCGUUUUUACCCAAACCUAGCCACCGCCUACCACCGACGUCGGCCUUCUUUCUCUUUCAACAGCCGUUAUUUUUUCCCCGGUUCGUUCAGUGCACCAACCGGUCGUGUCUCCAGCCACACGUCGAGGAUCGCCCAGCCGGUUCGAGUCGCCCACUUUUGCGCGCACCGUUCGCGGAUCUGAAGCUGAUGCGGGUUUCUGUCGCAGCCAUCUCCCUCCGUUUGGCGUUCGCAGGAUAGCAUCGCCCAAGCCCUUCAGCCCGUGCAGCUCCGUUUUUGCCGCUGCGCCCAGCCACAAGUCGACGCACACGACCGCCAGCUUCCGAUUCGGUGCAGCCACUCGUUUCAGUCGGCAUUGGAUUGGGUUCCGUCGUCGUUACCGGUCAGUCACCAUUGAAUUCGCCGACCGCCACUGCCUAUUCUUGAAAAAUCUUGAGUUGGGUAAGUUUUGAUUGGCUAAUUAAAUCGAGUUUUGGAAUUUGUCUUGGACCAAGCCAUAACUCUAGGUUGAUUUAAGUGUGCUAAAGAAGUUUUAAGGAGAUUUUGUUUUGCAUUUUUGCCAAGUUGAGGUAAGUGGUAGUCUUUGUGCCAGGCGGCCUAGUCUAGAAUUAUAAAGUUAAUCAAUGGACUCUUGAAGCAUGAUUUUGUCAUUAUGUUUUACUUGUUGCAUGACCGUUAUGAGUAUUAUGAGCAUGUUCGAAUUUUUAAUCAGAAAAGAAUGCAUAGCAUUCUGAGAUGCCCAAGAUAAAAGGAACGAGGGGAAGAAUCUACGAGGAAUCCAUAACAUCAAAUCGUGAAUCAAAAAGCGUGACGAGAAUUCUCAACCCGAGAUGUUAGAAGGUGCAAAAUCAAUGGGUGUCGGAGCUGCUACAAUUGCUUCAGCGGGAGGGUCUAGUUUCAUGUUUGACGGUGUGCCUACGGGCCGCUAGACAUGCGUGAGCCGACAGGUUUACGUUUCAUGUUAUUUUUCAUGUUUGAUAGUGUGCCUACGGGCCGCUAGACAUACGUGAGCUGACAGAUUUACGUUCAUGUUAUUUUUUUUUCAUGUUUCAUGUUUGACGGUAUGCCUACGAGCCGCUAGACAUGUGUGAGCCGAUAGGUUACGUUCAUGUUAUUUUUCAUGUUUGACGGCGAGCCUACGGGUCGCUACACAUGCGUGAGCCGACAUGUUUACGUUCAUAUUAUUUCCAUGUUUGAUGGUGUGCUACCGGCCGCUAGACAUGCGUGAGUUGACAGGUUUACGUUCAUGUUAUUUUCAUCUUUGACGGUGUGCCUAUGGGCCACUAGACAUGUGUAUCAAGGCAAGACAGUAUGUCUUUUGGUUUUCCUUUCAUCACAAAAAACCGAUGUAGUUGUAUGAGCCAUGUUAUUUUCAUCUCAGACGACUAACAAGAGGAAUCCGUGACAAUGCCAAAAGAACUAAA
Long non-coding RNA from Benincasa hispida (wax gourd), 1437 nucleotides. RefSeq lists it as uncharacterized. NCBI's taxonomy places the organism in Eukaryota, Viridiplantae, Streptophyta, Magnoliopsida, Cucurbitales, Cucurbitaceae. The record is from RefSeq and is a predicted model, not a curated record.